GACGAACGCUGGCGGCGUGCCUAAUACAUGCAAGUCGAGCGGACGGAUGGGAGCUUGCUCCCAGACCGUCAGCGGCGGACGGGUGAGUAACACGUGGGCAACCUGCCUGUAAGACUGGGAUAACUCCGGGAAACCGGGGCUAAUACCGGAUAACUCUUUCCCUCACAUGAGGGAAAGCUGAAAGAUGGCAUCUCGCUAUCACUUACAGAUGUGCCCGCGGGGCAUGAGCUAGUUGGUGAGGUAACGGCUCACCAAGGCGACGAUGCGUAGCCGACCUGAGGGGGUGAUCGGCCACACUGGGACUGAGACACGGCCCAGACUCCUACGGGAGGCAGCAGUAGGGAAUCUUCCGCAAUGGACGAAAGUCUGACGGAGCAACGCCGCGUGAGUGAUGAAGGUUUUCGGAUCGUAAAACUCUGUUGUCAGGGAAGAACAAGUACCGGAGUAACUGCCGGUACCUUGACGGUACCUGACCAGAAAGCCACGGCUAACUACGUG
Molecule: ribosomal RNA, 498 nt
Filed under: uncultured bacterium
Lineage: Bacteria
Description: partial 16S ribosomal RNA
Rfam family: Bacterial small subunit ribosomal RNA
Source: RNAcentral